This 465-nucleotide ribosomal RNA is filed under the name Vreelandella stevensii. RNAcentral describes it as "partial 16S ribosomal RNA". It matches the Rfam family "Bacterial small subunit ribosomal RNA", at positions 338 to 795 of the family's 1533-position model. Lineage: Bacteria; Pseudomonadati; Pseudomonadota; Gammaproteobacteria; Oceanospirillales; Halomonadaceae. The record is from RNAcentral.
CCUACGGGGUGCAGCAGUGGGGAAUAUUGGACAAUGGGCGAAAGCCUGAUCCAGCCAUGCCGCGUGUGUGAAGAAGGCCUUCGGGUUGUAAAGCACUUUCAGUGGGGAAGAAAGCCUUGGGGCUAAUACCCUCGAGGAAGGACAUCACCCACAGAAGAAGCACCGGCUAACUCCGUGCCAGCAGCCGCGGUAAUACGGAGGGUGCGAGCGUUAAUCGGAAUUACUGGGCGUAAAGCGCGCGUAGGCGGUCUGAUAAGCCGGUUGUGAAAGCCCCGGACUCAACCUGGGAACGGCAUCCGGAACUGUCAGGCUAGAGUGCAGGAGAGGAAGGUAGAAUUCCCGGUGUAGCGGUGAAAUGCGUAGAGAUCGGGAGGAAUACCAGUGGCGAAGGCGGCCUUCUGGACUGACACUGACGCUGAGGUGCGAAAGCGUGGGUAGCAAACAGGAUUAGAUACCCCAGUAGUC